RNAcentral lists this ribosomal RNA (253 nucleotides) under uncultured bacterium. Its description in RNAcentral is "partial 16S ribosomal RNA". It matches the Rfam family "Bacterial small subunit ribosomal RNA", at positions 524 to 776 of the family's 1533-position model. The record is from RNAcentral.
UACGUAGGGUGCGAGCGUUAAUCGGAAUUACUGGGCGUAAAGCGUGCGCAGGCGGUUUUGUAAGCCAGAUGUGAAAGCCCCGGGCUUAACCUGGGAAUGGCAUUUGGGACUGCAAGGCUGGAGUGUGGCAGAGGAGACUGGAAUUCCUGGUGUAGCAGUGAAAUGCGUAGAUAUCAGGAGGAAUACCGAUGGCGAAGGCAGGUCUCUGGGCUGACACUGACGGUCAUGCACGAAAGCGGGGGGAGCAAACAGG